RNAcentral lists this ribosomal RNA (516 nucleotides) under uncultured bacterium. RNAcentral describes it as "partial 16S ribosomal RNA". It matches the Rfam family "Bacterial small subunit ribosomal RNA", at positions 355 to 885 of the family's 1533-position model. The record is from RNAcentral.
UGGGGAAUAUUGGACAAUGGGGGCAACCCUGAUCCAGCCAUGCCGCGUGAGUGAUGAAGGGCCUUCGGGUUGUAAAGCUCUUUUGGCGGGGGACGAUAAUGACGGUACCCGCAGAAUAAGCCCCGGCUAACUUCGUGCCAGCAGCCGCGGUAAGACGAAGGGGGCUAGCGUUGUUCGGAAUUACUGGGCGUAAAGCGAGUGUAGGCGGUUGCCGUAGUCAGGUGUGAAAGCCUUGAGCUCAACUCAAGAAAUGCACUUGAUACUGGGUGACUAGAGGACCGGAGAGGAUAGUGGAAUUCCCAGUGUAGUGGUGAAAUACGUAGAGAUUGGGAAGAACACCAGUGGCGAAGGCGGCUAUCUGGACGGUUACUGACGCUAAGACUCGAAAGCGUGGGGAGCAAACAGGAUUAGAUACCCUGGUAGUCCACGCCGUAAACGAUGGGUGCUAGACGUUGGCGAGCUUGCUCGUCAGUGUCGCAGCUAACGCGUUAAGCACCCCCGCCUGGGGGAGUACGG